RNAcentral lists this ribosomal RNA (489 nucleotides) under uncultured Fusibacter sp. Its description in RNAcentral is "bacterial SSU rRNA". It matches the Rfam family "Bacterial small subunit ribosomal RNA", at positions 893 to 1382 of the family's 1533-position model. Lineage: Bacteria; Bacillati; Bacillota; Clostridia; Eubacteriales; Fusibacteraceae. The record is from RNAcentral.
UCAGAAACUCAAAGGAAUUGACGGGACCCGCACAAGCAGCGGAGCAUGUGGUUUAAUUCGAAGCAACGCGAAGAACCUUACCAGAUCUUGACAUCCAAUUGACCAUCUUUUAAUCGAGAUUUUGCCUUCGGGUACAAUUGAGACAGGUGGUGCAUGGUUGUCGUCAGCUCGUGUCGUGAGAUGUGGGUUAAGUCCCGCAACGAGCGCAACCUUGUGUUUAGUUACAAACAGGUCAAGCUGUGCACUCUAGACAGACUGCCGUGGACAACACGGAGGAAGGUGGGGAUGACGUCAAAUCAUCAUGCCCCUUAUGAUCUGGGCUACACACGUGCUACAAUGGCCGGUACAACGGGCAGCGAAGGAGCGAUCCGGAGCGAAUCCUAAAAAGCCGGUCCCAGUUCGGAUUGCAGGCUGAAACUCGCCUACAUGAAGUUGGAGUUGCUAGUAAUCGCGAAUCAGAAUGUCACGGUGAAUACGUUCCCGGGCCUU